RNAcentral lists this long non-coding RNA (594 nucleotides) under Equus asinus (donkey). RNAcentral describes it as "lncRNA (ENSEASG00005027949.1)". Lineage: Eukaryota; Metazoa; Chordata; Mammalia; Perissodactyla; Equidae. The record is from RNAcentral.
CAAAGGGCUGCUUUUCUCUAUAUUCUUAAUGAGUUUCAAUAACUGAAAAGGUCACUUCACAGAAAUGUUAUAAACAGGAGGAAUCGUGAGUGCCCACCGGAAUGCCGGGGCUCAAUACACAUUCUGGUAAUUGAUUAAUUGCCUCUCCUCUCGGGUUAGUAACACACACAGGAAAUGACCAGGAUGACCACGAGGACUGCGAGUUGUUCGCUGGCCACAAUGUGAUUAUUGAAACCAGCUCUGUUCAGAUUACUGUGGCACAAAAGAUGGGAUGACUCUUCUUCUGAACCCUCCAAGAGAGAUUUCUUUGUUCACAUUUUUAUGGAUGAAGAAAAUGAAAGCCAGAUAGGUGAAAUGCCUGCAUCACACAGUCAUACAGCUAGUAUGACUGAGACUGUAUCACCAGCGGCUUAAAGACUGGCUCUUUCUCCCCCAGCAAGAAUGGGCCCGUGGCAAGCAUCCAUACCUGCAGUGGAGUAGACGGCAGCAGAAGGAUCCACACCUGCGAGAGGACAGAUGGUAGCAGCGCCGCCACAUGGUCCAGAAUGUGAUAAUAUCAUAGGAUGCUCCGUUGCUGUGGUUUUGCAUUUCUUU